UAGAAAAGUACUUUGACCAAGGAGACACAAAGAAGUGACAGAAUAAAGAGGAAUUUAUUAUGUUCGGGGAUUAAAUUGCACGUCAACGCAUGUUUUCAUCAUUGGAAGGACGUCCAAUGAUAAAUGUCCUUCGAUCUGCCUUUCAAAAUGUUGAAUUAAUUGGAAAUGGACUACAAACCCUGAACGAGAGAUGCGACCUUUGGUGUAAGAGAAUAAAGAUAAACGUGUAAUUUGCCUACGGAAAAGUGUACGUACGACUGUGAUUACGAGUGUCAUCAAUCGUGAGAAAGUAUGUAUAUACUCGCGACCUUUUACAUCGUCACCGUUAAUUCACAACGUCCUCGCAAUAAAUUAGGACGAAACUCACGGCCAGCUUACUAUGUACUUGCCUACGUGCCCGGUGAACAUCGCUAGAUCUAUCGAUGGAAAAUAAACGGCAUACCCAUUAUGAUGUUAUUUUACGAUGUAAUUUCACGACGAUUUCGCUACGAUCAAAACUGGAACGACCAUAAUAAUUUUUUUUUUCUUAACAAAUAUAAUAAAAUUUUAUUACAUUGCAAAAUUAUUCUUUAGAGUGUCUCUCAACUCUUUUUUGAAUUUCAAUCUUUUUUUGUGAUAUAUUUCAAAUAACUUUUGAUAUUAUUUCUUUUCAAUAUAUAAACUUUUUUUUUAAAUUAAAGAUGAAAAAAAAUCAACGUUGUUUUAGAAUUAAAAUUAAUAAUCCAAAACUAUUUCUCAACCAAUAAGUUGAGAAGCAUUGGUCUACAUCGAAAUUUAUCAAAAUCUCUUCUUCUUGUAGGAAAACAAAAAGAAAGCGAAGAUAUGUAAAUCUUCUAGUAUCCUCCGGAAGAUUCUGGAUGAGAAAUAGUCGACGUGUGGUAGGAGACUGGUAUUACUGGAAGACGGAGAAGCUAAGGAAAGAGGAAUAGUAGUAAAAGAUAUAUAGGAUUCGCAGCUAAAUCGUCGAUGCUGUUACGUACGUAGCGCAUCGUUCACCGAGCUGGCAAAUGGACAACAUCUGCAAUGGACAGAUACGUGUUGUGAUACGUGUUGAAUACGUGUUGUGUCUUUAGUACUUAGGAGUGAGAUAGAGAUAGAGAGAAAGAUUUCAGGGAGGAAUUAACUGAAAUCAAGAGUAGGUGGGAGGUCGAAUAGCGUCCUCUCAUUACGGCCGCCCCUUGGUCCCGGGAUCGUUCGACGAUCCUUGUACGUGUGUCGUCUCUUGUUCACGCUAAAGAUGGGUGUAUAACAAUCGUAUACAGUAUACCUCCAAAUUUAGAUUCGAGGGUGACUUACUGGUGGAUUUUUCGAGCACUCUUUUGCGAACCUGUGCUAGACAUACCUCGUGGGGCACCUUUAAACAAAACGAUCAUUCGUUAUUGGGCUCGGUUCGAGUCGACCGGAUUCACUAGGAUCGAUAUGGGGUCGCUAAGAUCAUCGCUUAUGACGAAGGAAGGUGGACGAAUCUUUUUGAUUGGUUAUCGAAUUUCGUUGCUCGUUACUGGUCGCUGUUGAGCGUUAUUUAUAACCGUCUGUUGAUAAAUAUCGAUCGUCAAUAAUUCUUAUUGACUUAAGAUUUUCGAAAUUUUUUGAGAUUAUAGAUACAGUAGUCUGGAAUUUUGUUGAAAAAGUAAAAAAUGGAAAAAUAAAGUACUGUAUAUGAAGAAAUUAGAAGCAUCGUGACGAUGAGGUGUCGAGUUGGCGCAUGUGAAACAUCGUUUCGAUUUCACGGGGCAACGACGUCCCAUGAAUUUUCUUAUCGAGCACGUUAAAACGAAUAUACGUACACGGAAUAUGCAAAUUACAUGAUAUUUGAUUUUCCUCGAUAAGAAUUUAACUUUUCUGCUGACACGCGUCGCAUACAGAUUCGAACGUUUUAAGCAAUUUUCAAAUUACUUUCUAAGAUCAUUCGAGAGAUAAACAAUAUGAAUACGAAUGCAAUUAAAUGAUUUAUUUAACAUUUCAAGAAAUAAGGUAUUUAAUUUCGAUGAAAAUAACUAGUUUUUUAAUAGUUACUAGAUACUUAGUUAUUUAGUUACUUAAUAUUAAAUUACUAUAAAAUAACUAGUUUUUAUUCUGCUUCUGAUCAAUACUUAUCCGAUUAUCAGGCUUAUCUCUGAAAAAGAAAUUCAAGUUCGACAAUCUUUUAUCUCAGAAAAAAAAAAAAUACGCAAAAUCUUCUCGAAAAAAAGCGAAAAACGACUUUACAUACGCGUCAACUCAACGUAAAGAGAAUAGAUCUUGGUGAAAUGAGCAACAGACGCAAAGAGACUCACUGUUUCUGAUUACUUGUAUCAGUGAUAGGCACUCGUGUUCUAAUAAUAAGUACUCGUACUGACACACGAGGCGAGUCUGCGUGAAUCAGGCGACACCAACACACGUGAAAACACACGAUAAAAACUCUGGAACCCGAGACGGUCCGCGUCUACACAACGACGAAUGCGGACAGUCCGGUAUCCGGUGGUCGACCAGCGUCGAGCAUGCACAAUGAUACGUCAUUUUCGUGCCUCGAGGCGUUUUGUCAGAGUCAUCUCGCCGGCAAUCGACGACUUCCGCCCGCCUACAAUCGCUUUCAUCCGCCAUUGGAAAAAUGGCAUCGACGUUUCUUCGUCUAUAUUUUUCUUUUGCAUAUACUAUAUGCAAUAUAUAUAUAUAUGUGAGUCAUGAAUUUCUUCUUAACCUGUUCAGAUUGUAUUUUGCGAUAUCAAAGCGAAGUUCUUGAAUAAAUUUUAAUUAAAAAAAAAAAACUGAUGCAUAUAGUCAAUGUACCUGAAGAGGUUAAUAUUGGGAUAACAGAGGAAUGGAGGAAAUUUUGAAAAAAAUGUUUAUAUUUAAACAUUGUAUCACAUGUAUUAUUGACAAAUUAAUCAUUCGAAAUUUCUUUACAUUCUUUUUAUCUUUUUACUUCUUAAUACGAAUACGUAUAGGUUAUGUUAUUAUUUUUAGUUCUAAUCUAUUCAUCUGAAGAAUGAGAAAUGUUAAGAUUGAUGAUAAAUAUAUAAAAAAAAAGAAAAACAGAAAAAUAAAUUUCAUUGGCAUCCAUUUUCAAGGUGGAAGUCGUCGAUUCCAGGAUGGAAAGAAGCCACCAACACCACACUUAAGCUUCUCCCAUGCGACGGUAGGGGUAAUCGGUACUUACUGUUCUUCUUGUACAGCAGGAUCUCGAAUUGAUCGUGAAUCUGGCCCUCGAGGCAUUCCUCGAUCCUGGCGAUCGUCUCUUUGUCCGUCAACUCCCCGUACAUGAAUCCGCAGCGGCAGGACUUUUGCAUAACCUAACGGCAAAUUCGACACUUUUCAUCUUGCGAAUUCUCCGUUCUCUUUUUUGAGAUUUUUAAAAAAUAAUUCAGAGAUCUAAAAGUACUCAAAUAGCAACUUCUCAAAGAUUUUGAAUAAAUUUUUGUAACAAAGUAUUAUCCUCGGAUCUCGAUUAAUUUUUUAACGUGUUAUCAAGAAUAUGACAACGAGUUAAGUUAGGUCAGAUUAGUUGUAAUAUAAUCCGUGAAAAAUUACAUAAAUUUUUGUUUGAGUAAUUAAUUAUUACAUUUUUAAUUUCACUUUAUAUCAAUCAAAAUAAAUGAUUCAAUUGAUUUUAAUCCGAUCAAUAAUCUAAUUUAAACUGUCUCGAAAAAACAUUAUUAAUUUUUUAAUGAGCAUUAAUAAUCGAGUAAAAAAAUUUCAACAAUUGACAUUAAAAAAAUCAUCGAGAUCAGGAAAUGAUAUAAACAAUUAUUUUUUUUAAGAAAAAUAAAAAUAAAUCGAUUUAUAGAAUAAAAAAAUCUAUCUAUCCGGAUAACAUUUCACAUUUACCAAUCUUUCUAUCGUGUUCUCGAAUAAUACAAACACGUGAAAAAAAAACAGAAAAAGAAAUUCAAUUUCAUCCCUGAAUUAGCACCGUCAUAUCCAUACGGGAAAACAACAUUGAAAAGCGUAUUAUUGUUCGGUUGGUGAAACAGGAGUUGUACACGAUAGUCCGUAUUGGUUCGAAACGGUUCGAACGUAACCAAGUGGAUUUAAUUGCGGAUAAAGAGGAACAAAAGGGUAGAAAAAAAAUAAUGGAAAAUAGUUGAAUUAGGGAAAUCGACGAGUCCUCGCUAGAUUCCAGACGUGCUCCUCUUCUUUUUCUUUUUUUUUUUUUUUCCUUUCUCGUAUGAAAUUAUAAUUAUAUUAUACAUAGAUUGAAAUUGUGCAGAUGGUUCACACCUGUGUGAAUCGCAAAGUUUGGUUGGAAGCGAAACGAUAAAGAUUGAAAAGGUAAAUGGUGGAGGGAGCAAAGCGCGGUCGUGGAGCGAAAAGAGGCUUAGGGGAGGGUGGAGCAGGGUAUUUACCUCGGCACGAUUAUAGCCAGAGAUUUUGCAAAAGCUUUCGUUGCAAUAGACAAUAGGGAAGUCGACGAUCUGAGCGUUCGCCAGGAGAAAACUGCUGUCAGCUGUGAACAGAAAAAAAUGAAUGUUAAUAUAUUCAAUUUUUAAAUUUUUGACGUAUUAAAAAAUUAAAAAAAUUUUCUAUCGUCAAAUGAUAUAAUCGAAUAAACCCAAAAUCGAUGCUCUCGAAAAUUUACUUUAAAGAAUUAUAAAAAUGCUAUAAAAAAAUAAAUAAUUUGCACGCUGCAUUUUAGAACUGCGCAACGAUCAAAAUAUUUUAAUUAAUGCGGUGAUUCUUUGUAAAAUAAUAUAUCCAUUUAUACUCGCUCGGUAAUAAAGUCGCAAUAACAACGAUGAUUUUCCGCAUAACCGGUUUCCAUAUUCCGUGGAAAUUCCAACCACUUCAGCCCUCUCGCACGGUCAGGUUUUCUCAUCCACUUAUUCGUUCGCGGCACACGUAACGCAUUAACGAGCUUUAUACCCUUAUUCGUCGAGCUGAGGGGGAAAAAAAAAAAGAAAGAAAAAAAAAUUGUCAUUGAUCGAAUAUCCCCCUAUUGCUCGAUCGACCUUCUACUUUGAAUUCCUUCGGGAUUUCUACGUAUCUACGUAUAUUCUUCAAUUUCGAGAAUCGAAUCUAAAUCUCGAGCGACGUUUGGAAAGAAAAGAUAGGGGAAACUUUCAUUUUUUCCCCUAGAUAAUUUUUCGAAAGUAGAACCUCUUUGAAGGAGCAUAGGGAAUUUUUGCUUUUUCCCCUAGAACGAAAUGAAUAAAUUUCCGAGAAUUUUUAAGGAAAUUUCAUUUCAUUUUUUUUCUGAAGAAUUUUUCAAAAUUCCAAUUCUCGAUUACUGAGAUUUUCUCCUAGAAAUUUGGAUAAAAAAUUUCCAAUGGUGGAACAUCGUUCCGUUAUUGAAAUCCAGAUCUCGAGGAUAAUUUCUAGACAAAUUUCACUUUUUGACGGGACGGGAAAGAAUUUUCCAAGAAUCAUCGAGAUAAUCGAUUCUCGACAAUGUAGAUUUUUAGGGAAAUUUUAUUUUUCUCUAGAAACUCUGGCUAAAUUUCCAAAUAAUGGAAUAUUUGUUCCAUCGUCGAAUUAAUUUCUAGGGAAAUUUUCCUAGAUAAUUUUCCAAAAGUCGUCGAAGUCAAUUUUUCUAGGGAAAUUUCUAGAUAUAUUUCUAAUACUGCAAUAUCCUUCUAUCGUCGAAGCUCAAGAGCGACGAUUGGAAGGAAAGAAGAAUAGGAAAUUUUUAUUUUCCCCCCGAAAAAGCUGGAUAAAUUUCCGAAAAUAGAAUAUCGUUUGAUCGUCCAGCUGUUUCUUUAUUAAAACGGAACGGCUGUGUUUUUCCAUCUGUUUGUCGGUGUACACUCGCGAGCCAGGCCGACUGUGUUUUCCGUUACGUUUUCCUUUAUUCUUCGCGUCAUUGAACGCUCCACCCACGAUUCGAUUUAAAAAAAAAAACGCUCUCUUUCGUAAACCGUGACCCGCGUUUUCGACAAUAAUCCAUCUUUAAUAUUCUUAAUAUCGAUUUUUCUCCGAUGUGACGAUGAACGAUCCUCUCAAAUUUCCAAACAUUUUCUUUCAUCUUUUUCUUUUCAUCAAUUUGAAUCUUCUAAAAAAAAAAAGAUGACAAAUUUGACGAUAAAAAUAGAAUAAAAAUUCGUAGAAAGGUCGAUGCUUUAAUUAAAGGAGAAUACAGAAACAGAUGAAGACGGAAAUCUAACCUAACCUGGCUUUAGUGCGAGAAGAAAAUUAAGAAAAGUCUUCGUCGAAAAUGAGGAAAGGUGAAAAAAGAAUAAUACAAAAAAAAGAAGAAAAACGACGAAUAUUUCUUCGAAAGAAAGAAUGUGUGAAGAAAUUCGUUAUUUAAUCGAAUUAAAUAUAUAAAAUGUAUAUUUAUAUAACGUACAAAAAUACAUAAAGAAUAAACGAGGUCCAACAUAACCUAAUCUAAUUGAGAGAAAAACUCUUCUAUUUUCCUCGAAUCUGAAAAACGAACAUUAAAAAAAAGAAAAAGAAAGAAACAACGAGAAAACAAUAUGUGAGAUCAAAUCAAAUAAAUAAAACGAUCUUCAGUCUAAUUAAAAAAAAAUUAAGAAACGUGGAGAAAGAAAGAAAGAAAAAAGAAACGAGAGAUUUCUUUAAAUCGAUAUAAUCGAAAUCAAAGGAAUAAAACAAAGCGAAACAAUGAUCUUCGUCAAAAAUAAAAAAAAAAAAUAAAAAAAAGAAGAAAAUAUCCUUGGAGGAAAAUAUUCAAAAAUUGUUGUGAUCUGGAUUUUUGCUAAUGGACACGAACGAGAAGAUAAGGAAAAGGCGGAAAUUUUUUUGCUGUUUUGCAAUUAUUCUCGCCAAUUCCAACUCUUGGAGUCCACUACUUGGAUAUUUCAAAUUGCCACUUUUUUUUAUUAUAUUUUUUAUUAUAUUAUGUUUGUUGGAUUAAGGAGGACGAAGGUGAAAGAUGAGGAUGAGAAUGUUUAUUAUUAAUUCGUAAUAGUAAACACGCUUGGAUUCGCCAUUGUUGGAUUUUUUAAUAUCGAUGAAAAUGAAAAGUGGACGUAAUUUUCUGUAUACGCAGAGAUCAGGAUUUUUUUCUCAUUAUCUUGGCGGAGUGCAAAGUUUAUUUUAUUACUUUCCGCGAAGGAAUUCGCAAUUUCGCUCCAGUGCAUUCUUGGAUUUUGAAACUACCAUUUUUGGGGAUAUAUUUAUCGAAUCAUAUAAAGAAGAUGAAAAAAAGAUGGACGAUUUGCAAUUUUGCCCUUUUAAUUAUCUUCAAUUCUUGAAAAUUCUCUUUCAAAGGGAAAAGAAUGGAAUUGCAAUUCCAAAAAACAAAAAUAAUUAUCCCAAUUAUUUUUAAUUUUCAAACAACUCCAUUUUAACAAAAUAGAAAAUUUUCUUUCGAAAGGGAAUGGAAUUGCAAUUCCAAAAAACAAAAAUCGAAUAAUUACAAUUCCAUUUCCCGAUAGAAUGAGAAAAAAUUGAUUUUCAAACAGGAGUCGCAAUUGCGACAAGGAAAAAUAAACUUAAUCACUUACCGACUUAUUACGCAUUAAACGUCGAGCAGGAAAUCUUGCACGGCCUUGGGAUUUGUCUUUAUUAUUCCCCUAGAGCGAAUCACGGAUAAUAACGAUAACAGGUUCCUGUGCACGCAACGCGAACGAAACGAGCGUUCUGUGCCGCGUCCGUACCGACGCACUCCCCUGACCUGCCCCCUGAAUACGGGUCAAGGCUACGUGCACCGACCCUAUGCAACUUUCUAACCCGCCUUAUCCUUUCGAUCGUCCGGUUGAAAGUGCUCGUUCAUCCACCGAAGAUUCGAAGACGAGAGAAGAAUGUUUCGUGAAAUUUGUAUCCUAACCUAGAAACGAAGGAUUCGAAUUCGAGCGCGUAUGUGAAGUGUAAUAAGUUUAAACGAGGAGUAAUUUGUCGAUUGGAAAAUUUCUUUGAAAUCGAUGUAAUUUGUAAAGGAUGGGAAUGAAAUGUAUAUACUAUUAAUAUAUUACGUAGAACAAUUUGUUUUCGUCGUUGGAAAGUUUUCCAAGUUGAAAAAAUUCGAAUUUAAACGAAUGGAAUGAAGUAUAUUGUAUUAUUGAGCAUUUUAUUAAUGCGAAAUUUCUUCGAGAGGAUGAAAUCGUCCGAAUCGUUUCUAAUCUAAUCAAAUCUGAAAAUUCGAAAUACAUCGAACGAAAUGUUAUACAUGGAGCAAUUUGCUUUCGUCGAUGGAAAGUUUGUUUGAAAUCAGUGUCCAAAGUUUCCUAACCUAACCUAAUUUGAAAAUUCGGAUUCGAGUGAAGCGUGUAAAGCAUAAUAACAUCCACAAUUCGCGAGAUUUUAAUUCGAAUUCGAACGAAUUGAAUGCAACGACUUUUCAGAAUAUUUCCUAAAAAAAACUAAAAGUUACUAAAAAUU
This is a long non-coding RNA of Apis cerana (Asiatic honeybee), 8262 nucleotides long. RefSeq lists it as uncharacterized. NCBI's taxonomy places the organism in Eukaryota, Metazoa, Arthropoda, Insecta, Hymenoptera, Apidae. The record is from RefSeq and is a predicted model, not a curated record.